RNAcentral lists this non-coding RNA (102 nucleotides) under Bacillus sp. (in: firmicutes). Its description in RNAcentral is "Bacillus sp. Guanine sequence". It matches the Rfam family "Purine riboswitch aptamer". Rfam says of the family: Riboswitches are metabolite binding domains within certain messenger RNAs that serve as precision sensors for their corresponding targets. Lineage: Bacteria; Bacillati; Bacillota; Bacilli; Caryophanales; Bacillaceae. The record is from RNAcentral. RNAcentral also lists the same sequence under 1 other name.
AAUUGAAUCGUACGCAACCUUCAUAUAUCCUCGAUGAUAUGGAUCGAAAGUCUCUACCGGGCCACCGUAAAUGGCCUGACUAUGAAGGCAGUAAUUUCAGGG